AUUUGGAUAGCUUAAAGUUUUUAAAGCUUAACUCUGAAGAAGUUAUGAUAGAUAUAAUUCUUCCAAAUA
Molecule: transfer RNA, 69 nt
Filed under: Eysarcoris rosaceus
Lineage: Eukaryota; Metazoa; Arthropoda; Insecta; Hemiptera; Pentatomidae
Description: tRNA-Phe
Source: RNAcentral